UACGUAGGUGGCAAGCGUUGUCCGGAUUUACUGGGUGUAAAGGGCGUGCAGCCGGGAGCCCAAGUCAGAUGUGAAAUCCCGCGGCUUAACCGCGGAACUGCAUUUGAAACUGAUUUUCUUGAGUACUGGAGAGGAAAGUGGAAUUCCUAGUGUAGCGGUGAAAUGCGUAGAUAUAUGGAAGAACACCAGUGGCGAAGGCGGCCGUCUGGUCUGCAACUGACGCUGAGGCACGAAAGCGUGGGGAUCGAACAGG
This 253-nucleotide ribosomal RNA is filed under the name uncultured bacterium. Its description in RNAcentral is "partial 16S ribosomal RNA". It matches the Rfam family "Bacterial small subunit ribosomal RNA", at positions 524 to 776 of the family's 1533-position model. The record is from RNAcentral.